UACGGAAUGUGCAAACGUUAUUCGGAAUCACUGGGCUUAAAGAGUCCGUAGGCGGCCUGUUAGGUGAGGUGUGAAAUCCCCCGGCUCAACCGAGGAAUUGCGCUUCAAACCGGCAGGCUAGAGGAGGAUAGAGGUGGGCGGAACUGAUGGUGGAGCGGUGAAAUGCGUUGAUAUCAUCAGGAACACCGGAGGCGAAAGCGGUCCACUGGGUCCUUUCUGACGCUGAGGGACGAAAGCUAGGGGAGCGAACGGG
RNAcentral lists this ribosomal RNA (253 nucleotides) under uncultured bacterium. Its description in RNAcentral is "partial 16S ribosomal RNA". It matches the Rfam family "Bacterial small subunit ribosomal RNA", at positions 524 to 776 of the family's 1533-position model. The record is from RNAcentral.